This is a non-coding RNA of Corylus avellana, 976 nucleotides long. The record is from RefSeq and is a predicted model, not a curated record. Lineage: Eukaryota; Viridiplantae; Streptophyta; Magnoliopsida; Fagales; Betulaceae.
CGCAAGUUGGUAUUUUCUUUUGUCAAAUUCCUUUUCGACCAUCUAGGUGGUCCCCGCGUGUAGGUGUUGGCUACGAUUUAGGGCGCAGAUUGUUGCACUCUCAGCAUGAAUUGCGUCAGCAAUUACGAACUUCUUUCUGCAAUCACUACCCGAUUAUAUUUGCAAUGCCGUAACUAUGAUAUCUUAUUGCAAUUGAGAACGUAAUAUUAUCUUCUGAGCAAGUGAAAAAAAGUUGUUAUGCGAUGAAAGGUUAUGUUUAUACUCCGUUGAAUCACUGAUGAAGAGGCGAAAUAUUUGGUUGUACUCCAUCGUAUCGCUGUUGAGCGGAUCAUCUUGUCGCUUACUGGUAAUGAGUAGCUCAUAAACUCGCUAGCUCGCUGUGAAAGAGCAGAUCAGAGAGUUGCUGGUAAAUAGCAUAUGCGUGCUUGUUUAUGUGAGAUACUUCCCGGAUACCGUGGAUAACAGUAAAAAGGGCUAUGCUACAGUGUCACGUAAUCAAUGAAGACCUAGUUUGUUUUAGUUUCACCAUUGCACGUAAAAAGUUUUACUUCGUUUGAUGACUGACAUGUUAUUUAAAAAAUUAAACGGUGUGGGUAAUCAUAAAAUGUAAGUAGCUUGUGAAGGCCAGCCAAGCGAGAGGACUCAUGAGAAUUGAAGGUAUUUCAUCACGGCCGUGGGUGUAAAAUUCGUUCCUACGUGGAGAUAAUUAUUAGUGGAUCCAGCCUCGUUAGAUGCUUGGAAAGGGUUGCGAGCAAGUUUUUAGUUAGCAAUCGGGUUGGGAGUCUCCUUCUAAGUAGUCGUAUUAUUUCGAAUGUUGCCUUAAUUCUUAUUAUUUCGAUUGUUGCAGUAUGCCAGACGACGUCCCAAUGUUAUGCAUGGAAGCUUGGUGUAUUCGCCCGUUCAGGAAGAAAUGUGGCGCACUACUAAUUUUAUGCAGAAAAAAAUAUUGGUAUGCUGGUAAGGAAGAGUUCACAGG